This 875-nucleotide unclassified non-coding RNA is filed under the name Bombus terrestris (buff-tailed bumblebee). RNAcentral's name for it is "misc RNA ENSBTSG00005032669.1". The record is from RNAcentral. Lineage: Eukaryota; Metazoa; Arthropoda; Insecta; Hymenoptera; Apidae.
CGCCAGCCAACCGACAGAGAGGAAAGUGGGAGCGAGCAGGAGGGAGAGAACGAUAGUCGGCGCUCGUGCGUUUCGAGUGUGACUGACAGCGAAAAAAGAAAGAAGAGCGUCGGGAGACUGGCGGCGAAGGAGGAAAAACAGAGGCAGAGAGGAAGAAGAGAAGAAGAAAGAGAGGAAAAAGGAAACCGGGGAGGAAACCGAUGGAGAAAAAGAAGACGACCGGUAGACGGAACCCGGGGAGAAGUUGGAAAAGGGGGACGAAGAUGCUAUCGUCCCGCCGGGAAGAACAAAGAGAAAUAACGCGCGUGUAACGAAGACGAGGGCGUAAAGGAGCGAGGGUGAGACGAGAGACGUGAGACGAGAAACGGCGGAUAUAGAGGCGGCGUAUAGCGGCGGGGUACGCGAUGCGCGACUCGCCGGGGUGGAAGAGCGUGCGCGCGCGCGCGCGCACGUUUCUCUCGAAGGGGGAAGUCGAGGGAGAGAAGGGCUCCCUGAUCGCUUCUGAGUGCAAACGGUUCGGCGUGCGGUGGGACACUGGCAGGCGGGCGGCUGGCUGAAACUGCUGUGGAUAGCGGGUGGCGAGCGGUGCGAUACUCUACCUACGGGACGGGACGGGCCGAAAGCCGGGCCGGGACCCCCAUCCACCUAUACGAAACGCACACAACCGUUCGUCGGUCGGGUCUCCCCUCGCACACACAAUGAGAACGAGAGACCCGACGGACGCGCCACGCAGAGAGCGCGCCGGCACACAGCCGCGUUCUCACACUAACGGGAAACGGCUGGCUGACGACGCGACCCUGAGAGAUCGAUUGCCGUUCUACGAGACGAUAGGAAACGCGCUACUAUGUAAGAUGGAAGAUUGUCUAGCGUUCGAA